GGAUGUGAGGGCUAUCUGGCUGCGACAUCUGUCACCCCAUUGAUCGCCAGGGUUGAUUCGGCUGAUCUGGCUGGCUAGGCGGGUGUCCCCUUCCUGCCUCACCACUCCAAGUGCGUCCCUCCCGAAGCUGCGCACUCGGUCGAAGAGGACGGCCUUCCCCGAAUAGAGACGGACCGGUCUUCAGUCGAGGGUAUACGAGUAGCUGCGGUCCCCUGCUAGAACCUCCAAACAAGCUCUCAAGAUCUUAACAAUGCACUGCAAGUAACAUGAAGGAAAAAAAAAAAUCACAAUUGCAACGGAAAACAUUU
RNAcentral lists this small nuclear RNA (308 nucleotides) under Sorex araneus (European shrew). RNAcentral describes it as "7SK RNA (ENSSARG00000016443.1)". It matches the Rfam family "7SK RNA". Rfam says of the family: 7SK was discovered as an abundant small nuclear RNA in the mid-70s but a possible function has only recently been suggested. Two independent studies have found that 7SK RNA binds the CDK9/cyclin T complex (known as elongation factor P-TEFb). Lineage: Eukaryota; Metazoa; Chordata; Mammalia; Eulipotyphla; Soricidae. The record is from RNAcentral.